GCCUUUGUGGUGUAGUGGUCAGCACGCUGUAUGCGUAUUCCAGAGGUCCGUGGUUCGAGUCCUGGCGAAGGGG
RNAcentral lists this transfer RNA (73 nucleotides) under Stegodyphus mimosarum. It matches the Rfam family "tRNA". From Rfam's summary of the family: Transfer RNA (tRNA) molecules are approximately 80 nucleotides in length. Their secondary structure includes four short double-helical elements and three loops (D, anti-codon, and T loops). Further hydrogen bonds mediate the characteristic L-shaped molecular structure. tRNAs have two regions of fundamental functional importance: the anti-codon, which is responsible for specific mRNA codon recognition, and the 3' end, to which the tRNAs corresponding amino acid is attached (by aminoacyl-tRNA synthetases). tRNAs cope with the degeneracy of the genetic code in two manners: having more than one tRNA (with a specific anti-codon) for a particular amino acid; and 'wobble' base-pairing, i.e. permitting non-standard base-pairing at the 3rd anti-codon position. Lineage: Eukaryota; Metazoa; Arthropoda; Arachnida; Araneae; Eresidae. The record is from Rfam by way of RNAcentral.